AUUGAACGCUGGCGGCAGGCCUAACACAUGCAAGUCGAGCGGACGAAGGGAGCUUGUUCCUGGUUUCAGCGGCGGACGGGUGAGUAAUGCCUAGGAAUCUGCCUGGCAGUGGGGGAUAACGUCCGGAAACGGGCGCUAAUACCGCAUACGAUCUGAGGGAGAAAGGGGGGGAUCUUUGGACCUAGCGCUCUCAGAUGAGCCUAGGUCGGAUUAGCUAGUUGGUGGGGUAAAGGCGUACCAAGGCGACGAUCCGUAGCUGGUCUGAGAGGAUGAUCAGUCACACUGGAACUGAGACACGGUCCAGACUCCUACGGGAGGCAGCAGUGGGGAAUAUUGGACAAUGGGCGAAAGCCUGAUCCAGCCAUGCCGCGUGUGUGAAGAAGGUCUUCGGAUUGUAAAGCACUUUAAUUUGGGAGGAAGGGCAGUAAGUUAAUACCUUGCUGUUUUGACGUUACCAACAGAAUAAGCCCCGGCUAACUUCGUG
RNAcentral lists this ribosomal RNA (484 nucleotides) under uncultured bacterium. RNAcentral's name for it is "partial 16S ribosomal RNA". It matches the Rfam family "Bacterial small subunit ribosomal RNA", at positions 30 to 507 of the family's 1533-position model. The record is from RNAcentral.